UACGAAGGGGGCAAGCGUUGUUCGGAUUUACUGGGCGUAAAGCGUACGUAGGCGGAUGAUUAAGUCAGGGGUGAAAUCCCGGGGCUCAACCUCGGAACUGCCUUUGAUACUGGUCAUCUUGAGUCCGGGAGAGGUGAGUGGAACUCCUAGUGUAGAGGUGAAAUUCGUAGAUAUUAGGAAGAACACCAGUGGCGAAGGCGGCUCGCUGGGACGUUACUGACGCUGAGACGCGAAAGCGUGGGGAGCAAACAGG
Molecule: ribosomal RNA, 253 nt
Filed under: uncultured bacterium
Lineage: Bacteria
Description: partial 16S ribosomal RNA
Rfam family: Bacterial small subunit ribosomal RNA
Source: RNAcentral